Molecule: ribosomal RNA, 1159 nt
Filed under: uncultured Coniochaeta
Lineage: Eukaryota; Fungi; Ascomycota; Sordariomycetes; Coniochaetales
Description: eukaryotic LSU rRNA
Rfam family: Eukaryotic large subunit ribosomal RNA (bases 535-1159)
Source: RNAcentral
AAGUCGUAACAAGGUCUCCGUUGGUGAACCAGCGGAGGGAUCAUUAUUAGAAGCCGAAAGGCUACUUAAAACCAUCGCGAACUCGUCCAAGUUGCUUCGGCGGCGCGGCCUCCCUCACGGGGGCGCCGCAGCCCCGCCUCUCCGGAGGUGUGGGGCGCCCGCCGGAGGUACGAAACUCUGUAUUAUAGUGGCAUCUCUGAGUAAAAAACAAAUAAGUUAAAACUUUCAACAACGGAUCUCUUGGUUCUGGCAUCGAUGAAGAACGCAGCGAAAUGCGAUAAGUAAUGUGAAUUGCAGAAUUCAGUGAAUCAUCGAAUCUUUGAACGCACAUUGCGCCCGCUAGUACUCUAGCGGGCAUGCCUGUUCGAGCGUCAUUUCAACCCUCAAGCCCUGCUUGGUGUUGGGGCCCUACGGCUGCCGUAGGCCCUGAAAGGAAGUGGCGGGCUCGCUACAACUCCGAGCGUAGUAAUUCAUUAUCUCGCUAGGGACGUUGCGGCGCGCUCCUGCCGUUAAAGACCAUCUUUAACUCAAGGUUGACCUCGGAUCAGGUAGGAAUACCCGCUGAACUUAAGCAUAUCAAUAAGCGGAGGAAAAGAAACCAACAGGGAUUGCCCCAGUGACGGCGAGUGAAGCGGCAACAGCUCAAAUUUGAAAUCUGGCUUCGGCCCGAGUUGUAAUUUGUAGAGGAUGCUUUUGGUGAGGUGCCCUCUGAGUUCCCUGGAACGGGACGCCAGAGAGGGUGAGAGCCCCGUAUAGUCGGCCACCGAUCCUCUGUAAAGCUCCUUCGACGAGUCGAGUAGUUUGGGAAUGCUGCUCAAAAUGGGAGGUAUAUCUCUUCUAAAGCUAAAUAUUGGCCAGAGACCGAUAGCGCACAAGUAGAGUGAUCGAAAGAUGAAAAGCACUUUGGAAAGAGAGUUAAACAGUACGUGAAAUUGUUGAAAGGGAAGCGCUUGCAAUCAGACUUGCACGCUGUUGAUCAUCGGAGGUUCUCCCCCGUGCACUCGGCAGCGUUCAGGCCAGCAUCGGUUUGGGUGGUUAGAUAAAGGCCUUGGGAAUGUAGCUUCUUUCGGGGAGUGUUAUAGCCCUUGGUGCAAUGUAGCCUACCUGGACCGAGGACCGCGCUUCGGCUAGGAUGCUGGCGUAAUGGUUGUAAGCGACC